CAGCUUUGUAGUUUAGUUAAAAUAUUAUUUUUGGGGAAUAAAGAACUUCUUAGAAGUUGGCUGG
RNAcentral lists this transfer RNA (64 nucleotides) under Cichlidogyrus mbirizei. RNAcentral describes it as "tRNA-Pro". Lineage: Eukaryota; Metazoa; Platyhelminthes; Monogenea; Dactylogyridea; Ancyrocephalidae. The record is from RNAcentral.